RNAcentral lists this ribosomal RNA (254 nucleotides) under uncultured bacterium. RNAcentral's name for it is "partial 16S ribosomal RNA". It matches the Rfam family "Bacterial small subunit ribosomal RNA", at positions 524 to 776 of the family's 1533-position model. The record is from RNAcentral.
UACGGGGGGGGGUAAGCGUUGUUCGGAAUUACUGGGCGUAAAGGGCUCGUAGGCGGCCAACUAAGUCAGACGUGAAAUCCCUCAGCUUAACUGGGGAACUGCGUCUGAUACUGGAUGGCUUGGAUUCGGGAGAGGAAUGCGGAAUUCCAGGUGUAGCGGUGAAAUGCGUAGAUAUCUGGAGGAACACCGGUGGCGAAGGCGGCAUCCUGGACCAACACUGACGCUGAGGAGCGAAAGCUAGGGGAGCAAACGGG